RNAcentral lists this long non-coding RNA (3063 nucleotides) under Panax ginseng (ginseng). RNAcentral's name for it is "long non-coding RNA (PGIN_LNC017460)". Lineage: Eukaryota; Viridiplantae; Streptophyta; Magnoliopsida; Apiales; Araliaceae. The record is from RNAcentral.
AGCAAACUAUUUGAGCUGGAAGUCAGUGCUGGCACAGGGGUUAGCAGGAGGUGUUUUAGAAUAAGCCUAUUGCACAUCCAUUAAGUUUAGGUAAGCAUGAGCUGUCAAAAUUUUAAAGCAAUAAACAACCACUAAGAAAAUUUGUUUGAUGAGAUGAGAGCCAAGAAAUUAUACUCAGCUCACUCUAAGUACUCUCCAUCCAUUUCAAGUUUUAACAUCUUCUCUUUCAAAUUUUCGAAACCAAACAUUUUCAAACAUUUGCCCAAAUUUCGUGGUCUUUGCUGCAACCAUCAUCAAUGUGAAUUACUGGGUUGUUUAAGUUGAGCAAGGAAGGGACUGAUCGAAGUAAUUUUAAGAAAAAGAUCAUCUAAUUCAAAGCAAGCUAUAGUAAUCUGAGGAUUCGUAGCAAAGGGAGGUAUGUUUAUUUCAGUAAGCAAAUCAUGAAAUUUUUAGUUUGUUUUGUAUAAAAGGGCUACAAUUGAAUUGUUAAUUGAGAUUGUGAUAAAUGAUUUAUCAAAAAGGAGUAUAGUUGUUAUGGUGAGGAGCAAUAAAUGGGAAAAUUUAUGGCUGGAAACCUACACAAAGCCAUAUGAGAUCUGUUCUAAAAAUACAUGCACAGGACAUGUUUGAUAACUGAUUUCUUAAAGCUAAUAAGCUCAAAAUUAGUAAUUGUAAUAAUAUAUUAAGUAAGAUAACAUUUAUACAUGUUAUAUGAGAUGUAUGGAAUGAAUUUUAUAAAUGAAAUUUGAAUUAAAAAAAUUGUUUUAAAGAGGAUGUACAAUGGAGGUUUGGUUGAAAAAUUGGUGUUUUUGAUGGAGAAACGAAAAUUUAUUACUCCUUAUAUAGAAAGAUGGACACUACUGGACAAGUAUAGCUUAGUUGUGGGCAAUACUUAAAAGGAUUAAAUUGCAUCACAAGCAAGGGAUUGAUGGAUGUGAUAGUAAUUCAAUCUAUUUUUUUUUUGUCGCUGCUGUGGAGAUAUUUAAAGAUUGUCCAGGACCAUCCCACAUGAAGCCAUUAUUAUUAUUGCUACAUCAAAAGUUAGAUAUGUCUUUGUUGAGAUAUCCUUCUCUUAAUGAGCUAAAAUAUACUACAGUUAAUACAAUUUUUUUGUGGAAAGAAUCAAAAGAUACAUGGGGCACAAUGCUAUCUUUGAGGAGGAUACCUUUAUAAGUAUGGGUAAAAAGCGUAACAUAAGGUUUAUACGCAUUCUUAUAUCUUAUGUUUGCACUAUUCAAGUGAAAAGUAACCGAGCUGCAAGAAUGGAUUUUGAUCUAGUUUGCAUAUGGCUGGGUUAGUAAUGUCAAAUGACUAAAUAUUAAGCUGAAAACAACAACUCCGAUACAUAUGUAUAUACAUUCACAAGUGUUAUCUAUUAGAGAUAUUAAACAUGUAAAAUGAACUAAUUAAAACUGUUUUUGGGGGGCUGUUCUUGAGCCAAAAUUUAUGAGGGUAUAGAACUGAAAAUUUUAGUUUUUUAAAGGUGGGUUGUGCUCCUAUUAGUUAUGAAAAUAAUCCAAUUGGAAUGAAUUAAAAAGGAGCUAAAACGAAUUUAUAGUGAAGAUUUUAGUAAAACAUAUUAGAAAUCGAAAAAUUGUGGACUGCUGACCCUAAGGACAAAUUCGGGGCUAGCUAUAUUUUCCAGAAAAUUCUGGCUUUUUGGGGAAGUAUAUUACACUAAAUAAGGAAUCCAUAUCCUCCGGAAUGGACUAAUUCCGACCUCGGAGGAGGGAGUUAUGGCAUUCCAAAGUAAGAGCGGCGAAUCUGUCCAAAAUCUGGAAAUCAGAUUCUGACCAGUCCCUUGCACGAAUUUUUUGGAAUUCUGUAUUUUUAAUUUGGAAAUGCUCAUAGAAUGAAAGUUGUAGCCUCGGAAGUUAGCUUAGCGUGGACUCAAGAAUCGCUCAAAAAUGUUUUGAAACGAAUUAGUUAUGACUGUUUUAGCGAGAGAGGAUAAAGCUAGAAAAAAAAAUCGAAAACUGCUAUGAACGUCAAUUUUUGGCACGCUGUUAAGACUACUUAACAAACCCGAAAUGAGAGGUUAGUAUUUCUUAAAAAUAGUCUUGUAUGCCAUGAAAAAAAAACAUACUAAAAAUGCCUUACGAUUGGAAAAGUAGAUUGCAAGUUUUAAGCCGCGAAGUGGGUGUCAAAGGUGAGGGGCUGCUGCCUUGUGGUAGCAGCAGAUAGCAGCAGUCAUGGGCUGUUCAGCGUGCGAUUUUCCCGCUACGCUUUUGGGUGGUUUUGUGGCUGUUUAACAUGUAACAAAACACCGACAGAGAUGUAUAGAUAUUAUAUAAUGUUAUAUAUCGUGAAACUCAAUUUAAAUGUAAAGAAAGCGAUAGAAAUAUAAUGUAAACGUAAGUUUUCCUAACUAUGCGAGCGUAAUUCGGGAAAUGAUAUGUAGAACGUAUAUGUAGCAUAUUGAAAUGCGCAAAUCCGUUUGAAAUUAUAUUGAACCUAUGAAUGUAAAAACGAAGGGUUUCCGGAGUUCGAAACAAAGAUUUUGAACAUAGAAUUACGUAAUGACAUAUGUAUGAAUUUAAAACAUAUGCGAAGUAAGAAUGUAAAUUAUUCGCGAGAAUAAAUGCGAAGCUAAGUUACUAACGAAAUAAAGCAUUAAUAUACAUGAUAAUAGUGUGGGUUAACACAUGAAUUAUCUCAAAAGCAUAAAAAUUUUGUAAAUUAAAGGAAUGAUGAUAUGAACUAUAUUACGUAAUAAAAGCUAUUCCUAAACCCCUAUGGUCCCGGGUUUAUAAAUAGAGGCAAGAAAUAUUUCAAAAAGGGGAUAUAAAUGGUUUAUGUUUUGAUACAUACGUAAAGUAUUUACAUACUAAAUCCAUGAGAGAACCUUUUUGGGCAUAAAAAGGUUAUAACGGAUAAAAGUUUCUAAAGAAACAUGGAAUGGUUUUAAGACAAAAACAAAAUAUUAUAGUUAAUGUAAAUAAAAUUAGUUUACAUUGAGUAUGUGAAUUUAGUAUGUGAAACUAAUAUGGACAUGUAUGUAUUCUCAAUUUGUGUAGGAUCAUUACAGAGCAGAGAAGUUAUAAACAUUAAACAGCAUCCAAG